RNAcentral lists this transfer RNA (66 nucleotides) under Molannodes epaphos. Its description in RNAcentral is "tRNA-Val". Lineage: Eukaryota; Metazoa; Arthropoda; Insecta; Trichoptera; Molannidae. The record is from RNAcentral.
CAAAUUUAAGCUUAAAAGUAUUUCAGUUACAUUGAAAAGUAAGAAAAUUUAAAUUUUCAAAUUUGA